This 3698-nucleotide long non-coding RNA is filed under the name Daucus carota (carrot). RNAcentral describes it as "long non-coding RNA (DCAR_LNC006776)". Lineage: Eukaryota; Viridiplantae; Streptophyta; Magnoliopsida; Apiales; Apiaceae. The record is from RNAcentral.
UUGGAAUGUUUUUAGGUUAUGUUUUUAGUCCCCCAAAGCCUUUCUUAAACUUCCCCAGCGAUCGGGCCUUCAAACGUUUAAAUUGUAGUGAGUAUCGUAUUCAACCCCCCCUUCUACGAUACUUUGGACCUAACAAGUGUUUAGGUUGCCGUUUUUUUUCAAUGAAAGCUAUGAAUCUCCUCUUCGUUCUCCUCCAAAAAAACCUACACAACAUCACACUAAAACAUAUCAAAAACAUCAAAAGCUUGAGGCCAGAUCAUCCAUUUAAGUCAAAUCGAAGGCUUCCAAGUGGAUAUAAAAUCCACUUAUCACACCCCCAAACUUAAACCGAUGCUUGUCCUCAAGCAUAGACACACACACCAAUACUAAUAACGUAAUGCAUGAAUGCAACUAAAUGCCUACAUCUAACGAAUCAUGAAGUGUAAUCCUGGUUAACAUAGCAUCCUCAAAAUAUGCAACAUUCUCGGCAUUCAUCUCUUUCACAUAUUAGCCAUGUUCUCUUCCACUACAAGUGUGAAGUGCAUCGUGUGUGCUAGCAUGCUCUCUAGUGAAACAAAACAAAGACUAUCAAACUUCCACAAAAUCCUCACUAUGAGCCGUUGAUAAGAAUCCGGUUUAAACACUUCUUUACUACCGAGUCAACUACAGUUCAGGAUCUCCAAAGAAUUCCUAUGCCUCUCCUAUUUUUUUCCUAUUUUUUUUCUUGCUAAAUCUAAGGUUGGGACGCUUCUCAGUGUAAGUGAGUCACGACCGCCAUUCGACUUCGCUUUUCUCUUCUUUUUUUUUUUUUUUUUUUUUUUUUUUUAAUCAAGUAAUUCUCCAGUAAUCAAAGGUUGUGAAAGGUCACCAAGAAUUUGCUUAUUCUAAUACAUUUGCACUUAAUACCAGCACAAGUACAUGGAUCGUCCCUUUCACAUGACAUUGCAUUUUACACAUUGAUCUCAAUGGAGUACUUGAUAUAUUUUUUUCUCUCUUUUUUUUUUCCUUUUUUUUUUUAGAAAGGCAUAUUCAUCCCUCAACUCCCCCAAACUUAAGAUUUACAAACUCUAAGUUCAAAAAGGGAAUAAUCCACACGCUACGCUCGACUCAACGCAAGGACUCAAGAAAUAAGUUAGUCUAAGUCUUAUCUCUAGAGCAUAAGUGUAAUUACAAUUUCCACACAAGCAGUUUUCAAGUAACAAGGCAUCACAUAUAAUCAAGGUUACUAUCCAAGAAAUUAUGCACAUAAGCUCAUCAUAGGAAAUCAACUUGGAAAACAACUUCAAGAUUCAUGCAAAUGCAACUAUAUGAAACUACUAACACAUACUAACACAAGCAUAAAUGAACUAAUAUGCAACUAUAUGAGAUAAUAUUCUAAACUAUAUGCCACAUGCAACCUAUAUGCACACACUAUAUACUAUAUACUAGUCCUUAGAUUACCACCCCCAAACUUAAAAUCUUCAAUGUCCUCAUUGAAGGUGAUAAAAAGGAUCGAAUGUACCUAUAAGGAGUCAGAACGAUCACUCUCCUCACCCGCCUCGGGUGAAGAGUCAGCUGGAGGAUACAUCAUAUCUGCACCGAACACAGGCCACUCAACGUCUACGCCCGUAGCACGAAAAGCAGUCCCCAACGCCUGUGUCAAAUCCCUCGCAAAACGGCUAUGCAUAUCAUGCAUAGUAUCCAUACGCCUCGCGAGCCGCCUAAACUGUGAAUCACUGAAACCACGGCGCCCCGUACCAGAGCUCUCCACGGGCUCAGAAGGCCCCGCAAUCUCUCGAACUGGUGAAACUGGAGGUGGUGCUCUCAUCCGUCUACCAUCAGCAUCUCUAUAACCCAAUCCUCGAAGGCUGGCGUGACCACCCGGCCACUCAGGUAGCCGCUCUAUAAGAGCAUGAUCAAUAGCGGCCCCCGGCAUCUGCAACUGCUCAUCUGCUGACCAACGAACACCCACUGCAGUACAUAACUUGGUCACUAUCGUCGCGUGAGGUAUAGCCACUCCAGUGCGACUCCUCAAAAAUCUCAUAAUGUUCUGGUGGAUGACGUAUGCAAUAUCGACAUACUUCCCACUCAGAAUCCCAAACAACAAUAUAGCCCGAUCGACCGUGACAUCGUGGUGGUGUCCCGAUGGCAUAAUACUAUGGCAAAUAAACAGGUUCCAAGCUCGAGCAAACCUGUUCAUAGUAGAGGCAGGGAAAGAGACUCUCACAUUAGUCGACGGAUUACGCUUCCACGUAGUACCCGGAAUGCAUAACUCAUAAACAAUUUGAUCUAAAUCAAUGUUCCUCUUGUCCUUUCUCACCCAAUCAUCCUGAGUGGACUCCAUCUCCGUUCCCCCAAUAAGCGCUUGGAUUGUCUCCAAGGUAUAAUCCACAGUCAACCCCCUAACAACCGAAUACCCGUUUUGAUCCGCUCGGGCAUUAGCAUAAAACUCCCGCACAAUACUCCCCGGCAGCGGCGUCAAAAACUUGUUCGCACAAAAUCACGCAAGCGUACGUGGUCACAAGUAAUAUAGAAUAUAAUUCAAGUUCGUUCCCACAGAGACUGGUGUAUUCAGAAUUAUGCACUUAUGCACCAAUGUAUGAUUAUUAUUCAAUGCUUGGACAAGUAAUCAAAUUGGGUUUUGGUUUUAUACUUAACUAAUCCUAUUCGAAUUAUGAAACUAAGAAUUAUCAACUAAGAGAAUAACGAUUUACUAAUGAGAAUAAAACAUGGGAUUCUAGCUUCAUUAACAACUUCAUUCAGAGUUCUACCUUAUUCGAUUGUAAUGGUUGAUAACUAAUCAGAUAACACGAGACUGAUACACGCUAACUGUCGUUAUACGUGCACCAUACUGCUACACAUCCACAAUUAAGAUAGAAGGUAGACAGACACCAAUUAUGCUUAGACCCUAUAUGUCUAUAGAAUUUGAAAACAUAACGGUUGAAGAGCAAGUUAUCUAUCAAGAUUACAUAGGGCGAUGCAAGAUGGGUAAAAUCACAUCACAAGUCAUGUUAUCGAACACGAAACCUAUGCUCGCAUGGCAAGUUCUAAAUCAAUAUAUUCACUGUCGCUUCAAUAAAGAUUAACAAGCAAUCUUAGAUGUUAGCUACGCAUCCAAGACGAAUAAGCACAACCAAUACGAGGAAAUCAAACCAUCACAUAUGAACAAGGCAAAUUAACUACUGAAAUUCAUCGAUAAAUCCGCUAAAAUCCCAUGACAAUGAUUAGUUCAUAAUCGAACUUCUCAUCAUCAUGGGUUCGAAUGUAAACAUGGUACUGAAUAGGAAAAACAAAAUCAAAGUAUGAGAAUAAGAGUUAAGAAACAAAUCCGAAACGAGCAUCCAAAGUUACGCCUACUUCGAAGAAUUACAAAAGUAAAAGCUAUGAAAUUCGAUCUUUAUCUUCUCCGUAGCCGUCACGUGCUCCUUGGAAUGUUUUUAGGUUAUGUUUUUAGUCCCCCAAAGCCUUUCUUAAACUUCCCCAGCGAUCGGGCCUUCAAACGGAUCAGAAACAGGCAAACGGGCUUAAAUUCGCUGCCAGUUUGGUGCGGGUGCGCCAGAUUUGGGGCGGGUGCGCCAACGGGGCAGGUGCGCCAGAUUUGGGGCGGGUGCCCCAAUUCAGCAGCCCACUUCUUUGUCCAUAACUUUUGACUCGCUCAUCCGAUUGCUUCGCCGUUUUUUUUCAAUGAAAGCUAUGAAUCUCCUCUUCGUUCUCCUCCAAAAAAACCUACACAACAUCAC